Molecule: unclassified non-coding RNA, 8195 nt
Filed under: Amphibalanus amphitrite
Lineage: Eukaryota; Metazoa; Arthropoda; Thecostraca; Balanomorpha; Balanidae
Description: low-density lipoprotein receptor-related protein 4- like, transcript variant X1
Source: RNAcentral
GUUUUGGUCCGCGGUGGUGGGGUGCGCGCUCCGCAAGUAUACGCGUAUUUAUAUUUCUGAGAGGUUUUAAUUUAUUCGUUAUGAAUGCGGUAGUAAAAGACUGAACAUAAGCUGUGGAUUGGAGCAGCACACCAUCUGGCACCUUCCCUCUUAACCAUGCUGUGGUAUUCAGCAUUUAUCUACAGUGUGAUUCGGUGGGGCUCGGCGUGGGCGCUGGUGUGCACCGGAAGUGAUUUUUCCUGUGACGGCGGCAGCCAGUGUCUGGCGCCGCGGAAGCUCUGCGACCAGUCUGCCGACUGCGCUGAUGGCAGCGAUGAGGGCUCGUGCGAGGCCGGCUCGCGGGUUUGUCCGGCCGGCCAGACGCCCUGCAGCGACCACCGGCUGUGCGUGCACCUCGACUGGCGCUGUGACGGCGUGCCCGACUGCCCGGACGGCUCGGACGAGAUGGGAUGUGCCGCGCCGCAGCGCAGACGCUGCGUGCCGGGCCAGGUGCAAUGCCGGGGCGACGGCCGCUGCCUGGACGUUCUGUACCGCUGUGAUGGCACCCCGGACUGUGAGGACGGAUCGGACGAGAUUGGCUGCGCAGCGCCGUCGUCGCCGUGCGGCCGGGAGGGCUUCUGGUGUCCGCACCGGUCGUUCUGUAUCGCCGCGUCUCAGCAGUGUGACGGCCGGGACGACUGCGGUGACGGCUCGGAUGAGUUUGGCUGUAACAUCACCUGUCCUGUCGGAGGGAUGAGGUGUCAGACGAUGUGUAUCGAAGCCAGCUGGGUUUGUGACGGUAGUCCCGACUGCGCCGACGGAAGGGACGAAGAGGGCUGUGCGACGCUGCAGCCGCCGCCGCCCUGUGCCGCCGACCAGUUCACCUGUGAUAGCGGCAUGUGUAUUCCGAUUGAGGACCACUGUGACAGCCACCCCGACUGCACGGCCGGCGAGGAUGAGCGCGACUGUGAGCCAAACUGCGCUCCCGAGCUGUUCCGAUGUCCGGACGGCACGUGCCUGCCCCAGGAGCAGGUUUGCGACGGCGUGCGACAGUGCGCCUGGGGACACGACGAGGACGACUGCGCCCACCUGGCCCAGUGCCCGCCGUCGGCCCGCUGCGAACACCUCUGUAUCGGCCUGCCCUCGGAUACGGCACCCAACUGCACCUGCCGGCAGGGAUACGCCCUCCAGGCCGACCGCGUCAGCUGUAAGGACGUGGACGAGUGUGCUCUGUCGCGGCCGUGCGGCCACCGGUGUGUGAACACGGACGGCAGCUACCGUUGCAGCUGCGCAGACGGCUACCAGCUGCGCUCGGACGGGCAGACGUGUCGUGCCGGGGCGCCGCCGGCCUCCCUGCUGCUCGCAGAUCGGCACGCCAUCGAACAGCUGACCACGAACGGAGCGCCGGCCGCGCUGGCGCACAAAGGCCUGGCCAACGCCGUCUACCUGGACUUCCACUUCAACAAGGGCCUGCUGUUCUGGAUGGACACGGCGCAGAACGUCAUCUACCGCUCCCUCAUCUCUGGGAACUCGCCGCCAACCACGGUGGUGUACGGCGGCCUGCUGCACCCGGUCGGUCUGGCAGUCGACUGGCUGCACGACCUCCUCUACUGGGCUGACGAGCGGCAGAGUGUCAUCGAGGUCAGUCAGCUGGACGGCCGGCAGCGGCACGCCGUCAUCACCGAGGGACUGGACCGGCCGCGCGCGCUCUGUCUGCACCCAGAGCGGGCGCUGCUGUUUUGGACAGACACCGGCGAGGAGGCUCGUAUCGAGCGUUCGCACGGCGACGGCGGCGGCCGGCGGACCAUCAUCAGCGAGGAGCUGUUCUGGCCGAACGGACUGACCAUCGACUAUCCGACGGAGCGUCUCUACUGGAACGACGCCAAACUGAACAGCAUCUCCAGCUGCCUGCUGGACGGCUCCGACCGGCAGCAGGUGGUCCGUCGCGGCGCGCCCCACCCGUACGGACUUACCGUGUUCGAGGACACUCUCUUCUGGACCGACUGGAAGACGCACGCGCUGCACGCGGCCGACAAACGACACGGGAACCGUGCCCACGCGCUCCGCACGGGCCUGGAGCACCCCAUGGAUGUGCGCGCCGUACACCCGCUCCGCCAGCCGGGCACGCGCAGUCGCUGUCUGCCCGCGGCCGGCUGCUCCCACCUGUGCCUGCCGCGGCCGGACGGUCAUACGUGCGCCUGUCCCAGCGGCCUGCGGCUGAAACCUGGAAGCACCUCUGGCUGCGAGUCGGAGCCGGCCACCGGUCUUCUGGUGGCCUCCAAUGGCACACUGCAGGUGGCACCAGUGCUGGGCGGCGGCCGGUGGCACCUGGUACCGCUGCUGGGCCCCGGCCGGCCGUCGGCGGCCGCCGCCGACCGCCGACACACGCUCUACUGGGCGGACGCGGAUGGUGGCUGUCUGCGGAGCGCCUUCUGGAACGGAUCGCAGCACCGGUGUCUGGUGGACGCCAACCUCGGUAACAUCACGGGCCUGGCCGUGGACUGGCUGUCGGGCCUGCUGUACUGGGCUGACGCCGGCCUGCGGCGGCUAGAAGUGGCCCGGACUGACGGCCGACACCGGCGACUGCUGGUGGCCGACGGUAUCGACAGCCCCACCUCGCUGCUGCUCAAUCCGACCGCCGGAGUGAUGUUCUGGUCGGACACCGGCGGCUCCUCGGCCCGUAUCGAGCGAUCCGCCAUGGACGGCUCGGGACGCUCGGUCCUGCUGCGCGGUGGACAGCUGGCGGCGCCCACUGGACUGGCUCUGGACGACACCGCCACCACACUCUACUGGUGCGACGAGAAACUCGGCACUGUGAGCGCGGCGCGUCUGACGCCGUCGGGCGGCGCCGGUCCGGUCCGUACCCUGUACUCUGGCCAGCGGCGGCCCAUGGCGCUGGCCGCGGCCUCUGGACGCCUCUUCUGGAUCUUGGCCGGCGCAGAGACGGUGGUGAACGGUAGCGCCAGCGCCGGCGGUCCGCCGCCCGCCCCGCUGUCGGCGGCGCUGGGCCCGCCGCUGGCUCUGGCGGUGCUGGGAGCGGGACAUGGCGCCGGUGACAAGGAGAGCCCGGUCGGUCCGUGCGGUACGGAUAACGGCCGCUGCUCGCACCUGUGUCUGCCGACUCCCAACGGACCCGUCUGCAGCUGUCCCACCGGCGUACCGAUGUCGUCCGACGGCUGGAGCUGCCAGUCGGGCCCCGCUCUCAGCCUGGUGUUCAGCCGCGGCUGGGAGGUGCGCCGACUCUCUCUGACCCAGCCGGCCUCCGUGGAUACGGUGCUGCCCCUGCCGCGCUCCGCACACGUCACCGCCAUGGCCUGGGACCCGCGCACAGACCGCCUGCUAUACGCUGACGCCGGUGGCGGCCGACGUCGCAUCAUCAGCAGCUCGAUGGACGGCCUCAAGUCUCACGUCAUCGUCGCGCACGACCUGGGUGACGUGGCAGACAUAGUCAUCGACGACAUCGGCGGAAAGAUAUUCUGGACGGACCGGACGCGCGCCAGUGUGGAGGUGUGCUCCCUGGACGGCCAGCUCCGUCAGCUGGUGGUACACAGUCGGCUGCGCAGCCCGCGCGGCCUGGCACUCUCCCAUCGGCACGGCCUGCUGUUCUGGUCCGACUGGGGCCGGCCGCAACAGAUCGAGAGCGCAUGGAUGGACGGCACCCACCGCGCUGUGGUCGUGGCGGAGGGCGUCGGCCGUCCGUGCGGUCUAGUGGUGGAUGCCUCUUCCGACCGACUGUUCUGGGUCGACCACCAGCUGGGCACCGUCGAGUCGGCCGCCCUCAACGGCUCCGAGCGGGUUACACUGGUCUCAGAUCUCUCCCGUCCGUCCGGACUGGCCGUCCACCACGGUCGGCUCUACUGGACCGAGGAGACGGCAACAGAGGGUGCUGACGGCGGCUCCGUCCGCGCCCGGGACAUAUCAGGCACCUCAGCGACACCCGAGACCCUCACCCGGCCACUCACUAACCUGGGACACAUUAUGAUGCUGGAGCGUGACGCGGCCAUGUUGCGCUAUGUGUGUGGCGGCGGUGACAACGGCGGCUGCUCGGGCCUCUGCCUGCGCAUCCCCACGGGCCGGAGCUGUGUGUGCGGUACGGGACUGGUGCCACAGCCGACCGACGCCGGUGCCAGCUGCCCCGACCGGCCGGCCAGAAUGCUGCUCUACCUGACACUCAAUAGCGUGGCGCGUGUUUCUCUGGACGUAAGCCAGCCAUGGGACGUGACGUUGCCGGUGACGGACGUCUACAACGCCGCCCACCUGGACUUUGUGGCCGAGGAGAACGCCGUCGUGUACUCGGACCGCCGACUGAACCAGAUCAGGGUGGUGGACAUCCGCACACCGGCCACCACUCCUCCUCGCACCGUACUGGAGUCGGCCGACGUGUGGCCCGAGGGGGUGGCCGUCGACCGGUCGGCUCGGCUGGUGUUCUUCACGGAGGCGCGUGGCCCGAGCGUGUCUGUGGUGGCGCUGAGCGGCUGCUGCCGGCGGCGGCUGAUCGCUGACGGCCUCUCCCGGCCCGGCGCCGUGGCGGUGUGGCCCCCGGCUGGCCUGCUGGUCUGGGUCGAGCAGCAGGGACCGCCCCGUAUAGAGUCGGCCAGACUGGAUGGAUCUGAGAGGCGCCGGCUGGUCACCGAGCGUCUGUCGGCGCCCACCGGACUAGCGCUGGAGGGAGACAGGAUGUACUGGGCGGACUCUGAGCUGCACACGCUCGAGUCUGCCGACCUGGCCGGCGGUAACCGGCGGGUGCUCGUCUCCAGCGCCGGACACCCCUUCGGCGUCACAGUCAGCUGGAGCGUAUAAUGGACGUGGUGGCCGUGUCUACUGGUCGACCGGCCGGCUCCACUCCCUGUGCCCAGGAGAACGGUGGCUGCUCGCACCUGUGUCUGUACCGCGGCGGAGGGAGCCUGGUGUGCGCCUGCCCGGACACUCCGGACGGUCGGGCGUGCGACACCACGCCGCACUAUCAGAGUCAGCCGAGCACCGCCGCCGGUCUGAGCGGGGUCAGCACGGCGCUGCUGGCCGCCGGCGGGCUGCUGCUGCUGCUGCUCGCCGUACUGCUGGCCGUGCUCUUCAGACGCUCACGGAUGGCGCAGCGCGCCCCGGACCGAGAGGCCACCCUGACCUUCAGCAACCCCACGUACAACUCGUCGGCGUCUGACUUCAGCAGCGAGAAACGCUUCUCGUGGAGGAAGGCCAAGUACGACAGGUCCCAGGAGCCGCCGCCGGCCGGCCAGUCGUCCGGCACGGCUUCCCUGGAGGCUGCCGCGCUCAUUAACGGAGUGAUGGCGGACCACAACAGCUCGACGCCGCUAGCCAGCUCCCCGAGCCUGCAGCACUGAGCUGGGUACUCCGGAAUGGUCCCUAUCAGUCUGAGAUGGUCCUCCCCGGGCUGUGGGAUCCUCCCUGGUCCUUUGGCAGGCCAUCUGGCUCACGCCAGUCUAUAAAAACCACCGUGGUCUCCUGGUCCGUAACUGAUUAGUCAUCGGACGACUCCAGAUAUUUGAAGAUUGACCACGGCUCUCUCAAUCAAUCAACAGCAGUAAAGUUGUGACAUGUGGGGCUGGAAGGGUAGAGGUUCAGUCCCGUAAGUAGGCGCUCCAGUCCAGGUAGUCAAAAAGGCAGGGACGAGUCUCAAACAUGGCGAACUCGCGCCGUCACAGGCCGGAUAGUCCCGACGGCGGCCGGGCUAGUGAUAACUGUGCGAGCUUGAUGUGCGAGCUUUCCGGCCGAUACUGGGCCAGGCGGGUGUGCCGGGCUGCUUUGCUCAAAGCCGCGGCGCAGACUGUGUCUAGACUAGAGUAGCUGUAUUCCUGUCGUGUAUUCAUGGGGCCGAUUUUAAAACAUGUGGCAGAGGCGGCUCCUACGGGUCGCCAGGCUUUCAUUGUGGAGUAGCUCAAUUUAUUUAGCAACGUGCGUUGCAUUAUCGUGAUGGUGUGUAGAGCACAGGAACUACGAGGCGGUUGAGGCAGUUAAGGAAUUGCCACGAUGGACUGAUUACUGAUAAGAACAAUGCGACUAUUGGGAUUAUUGUCAGGGCUGUUAAUGUUACGUGCUGCUUUCUGCGUCAUAUAUCAACGUUUGCCAAGUCACGUGGCUAUUGGGAUGAUGGAACUGGCUUGAUUAGUAUUUAUUUGUGCCAGUUAUCUUCGAACCCCACUCACACAAGGGGUGUUGUAAUACGCUGACGCUAUAUUUGAUAUCUAGUCUUACGAGGAGCUUAUGUAAGGGAGCACCGGUGGGUCCGAUGCGUUUACUUUGACAGUGCCAAACUGUAAUUGAGCUUAUUUGCUCUGGAUAUAUCAGUGCAUGAUGCGUAUUAUUUAUGUUUACGUGAUUUUUACAUAUAGCUCACGUUCAGGUGCUUCAAUGUAACGAUUUAUUCCUGUAUUUUGCUUUCACGGAUGGGCUGCAUUGUCGCGGUGUUGGACAUUUUGUUGUUGGUAUGCUCUGUGAUCGUUGUUGCUGUCUGUUGCGGCGGACAUCGGGGAGUCCCCAGCCGCGCGGCUGACCGCAGUGUCACUCAGUGUCUGCGCGUGCUCUGGGCGCUGCCGUCCCACCGGCGGCCGGUAUUCAGUGUGGCGGUGUGGUCCCACGCUGUGUUCGCCCGUUGCCGCUCGGCGCGGUGGGCGAACAUCGAGGAGAUCUCGGGUAGUGUUGUAAGCCGCUGCUGUUGUCGUCACCGGCUGUAUGGAAACGGGGGAUGCGUUGAACCGUUGGAAGCUUUCUGACACCCGUACUCAGCUGCACUUUUCAAACGUACUCCGCCCCAUUGUCCAUCGAAUCUCGGUCCCAUGUCACACUUACCCUUCAGACGGCCUAAAUCGCUGAAUGAAUUGUCAUAUUAUCUAAAUAUCAGUCAGCCGGUCAGUGGAGUCCUCGGCUGACUGGCUGGAUCUCCCGAGAAAGUUGUGCACCGCCCGGGGUCGUCGCUCCAUCGCCCGGCGCUGCACCGUUCUUCGUUCGGUGUCGGUCGGAACUCGGAGCUCACUGUGCAGCUGCUUGAAGUGCUCUGUGCUCGGUGGUAGCGUUGGGAAGGUUGUUGUCGGCGCUCUGGUUGUGACGUGCUACGUACUGUUUGUCGGCGCUCUGUUUGUCGCCAGGUGUUAUCAGCAGCUGCUGUGUUUGUUCGGUGUUUGUCGGUGGAGAAUAGGGGAUUUAUCGGGUGCACCAACACCUCUUACUGCCAAAUACACUGUCUCAAAAUGUUGCAAAAAAAUCGAAAUAGUUGAUUGUGAUAUUAAGUGAAGCAUAUUAGUAGCAAAAGCCAUUCUCUGGGCGUUUUUCGCGAUUCUCCAUUUGUAGCGAUGGCAGUAACUGGAUCGCUGAUUGUCAGCUACAUGUUGGCCGGCGCGGCGUUAGCAGUGUUUUCAGCAACUGUGUUGGGUCGGUGUUCGCAGCUGCAACUGUGUUAGGCUGGUGUUCUCAGCUGCAGCUGUGUUAUGCCAGUGUUAGCACUUAGCAGCUGUGUUAGCAGUUGCGUUAUGCCAAUGUUGCAGCAGUCGCUGCUGGGCUCGCCUGUGCUAUCAACCAGCUGUUUCGCUGGUGUUAUCAGCUGUGUUCCGUCGGUGUUAGCAGCUGUGUUCUGCCGGUGUUACAGCUGUGUUCCGCCGUGUCCGCGCGAUGUUCUCAUUGUGCCUGCCGCUGCGGAGGUUCAGUGUUUCUCUUCUAGUUACGAUGCUCUCUUUAGGCGAAUCUUCCAAGAAGAUCUGUAAACAUUCCAAGUGUGACGAUGGUAGGCCCGCCGGGCGAGCUAGCCAUGAUCUGUGACGCACCUGUCUGCCGUUGUCGGACGAUGUUGUCAAUGUGAUUUGGUCGAGGGUGGACAAGUGAACAGAGAUGCGACUGCUAGCGUUGCAGACGUGGAAGGCGCGACAGAUUGAUGGAUCGUGCGCUAAGGCGCUGUGUCAUAUUCAACGAGUACCUUCUCCCUGACGAGCGGAUGUCUCUCAGUUUCCCCUCCCGACCUCUCUGGCAGUCUGCCGGGAGGAGACGGUCGGUAGAGUUCCGUCUUCGGUAGGAAGUCCAGCUCAGCUCCUUGCCAAAGCGGCGCGCGGAGUCGCGGUAGUGCAACAUGUAGCGCGCGUCGCUAUCAGUCCGGUGACCUCUCGGGCUCUAUCGCGCCUCUCCGGCCGCUCAUGCAACUGCUCGGGUGGCUUUUGUGACAGAUGCUUCAGAUGUGCAUAAUAUAUUUGUGCGAAAUAAAUCAUCAAAACCUA